This 465-nucleotide ribosomal RNA is filed under the name uncultured Staphylococcus sp. Its description in RNAcentral is "bacterial SSU rRNA". It matches the Rfam family "Bacterial small subunit ribosomal RNA", at positions 338 to 795 of the family's 1533-position model. The record is from RNAcentral. Lineage: Bacteria; Bacillati; Bacillota; Bacilli; Caryophanales; Staphylococcaceae.
CCUACGGGUGGCAGCAGUAGGGAAUCUUCCGCAAUGGGCGAAAGCUUGACGGAGCAACGCCGCGUGAGUGAUGAAGGUCUUCGGAUCGUAAAACUCUGUUAUUAGGGAAGAACAAAUGUGUAAGUAACUAUGCACGUCUUGACGGUACCUAAUCAGAAAGCCAUGGCUAACUACGUGCCAGCAGCCGCGGUAAUACGUAGGUGGCAAGCGUUAUCCGGAAUUAUUGGGCGUAAAGCGCGCGUAGGCGGUUUUUUAAGUCUGAUGUGAAAGCCCACGGCUCAACCGUGGAGGGUCAUUGGAAACUGGAAAACUUGAGUGCAGAAGAGGAAAGUGGAAUUCCAUGUGUAGCGGUGAAAUGCGCAGAGAUAUGGAGGAACACCAGUGGCGAAGGCGACUUUCUGGUCUGUAACUGACGCUGAUGUGCGAAAGCGUGGGGAUCAAACAGGAUUAGAUACCCGGGUAGUC